RNAcentral lists this ribosomal RNA (499 nucleotides) under uncultured bacterium. Its description in RNAcentral is "bacterial SSU rRNA". It matches the Rfam family "Bacterial small subunit ribosomal RNA", at positions 29 to 517 of the family's 1533-position model. The record is from RNAcentral.
AGUGAACGCUGGCGGCAGGCCUAAUACAUGCAAGUCGAACGGCAGCACAGCAGAGCUUGCUCUGUGGGUGGCGAGUGGCGGACGGGUGAGGAAUACAUGGGAAUCUGCCCAGUCGUGGGGGAUAACGUAGGGAAACUUACGCUAAUACCGCAUGCGCCCUUCGGGGGAAAGCCGGGGACCUUCGGGCCUGGCGCGAUUGGAUGAGCCCAUGUCGGAUUAGCUAGUUGGCGGGGUAAUGGCCCACCAAGGCGACGAUCCGUAGCUGGUCUGAGAGGAUGAUCAGCCACACUGGAACUGAGACACGGUCCAGACUCCUACGGGAGGCAGCAGUAGGGAAUAUUGGACAAUGGGCGCAAGCCUGAUCCAGCCAUGCCGCGUGAGUGAAGAAGGCCCUCGGGUUGUAAAGCUCUUUUGUCCGGAAGAAAAGCGCCGGGUUAAUACCCUAGUGUCCUGACGGUACCGGAAGAAUAAGCACCGGCUAACUUCGUGCCAGCAGCCG